UAUCACAGAGAAUUUACUAAGUCAUCACUCUCAAGUGUAUAAUUAAUAAUAAAACCUGCGGAAAUUCAACUAAAAUACCACACCAUAGCCUAAUAGAAUCCGGUGUCACGAAUAUGAGCCUCUAAUACAGAAUAUCCACAUAUUACAAGUCUGUCUAGGAAAAAUGCAGAAUAAAAGAUAGAGAUCAAGGCUGCGAAUGCCAUGCAGCUACCUCAAUACUCUCGGAUACUGCUGCUCAGCUAAACAAAUCCUCACUCAGCCUAUGGUGUACCUGGAUCUGCACGCAAGGUGCAGAGAGUAAUGUGAGUACUCCGACCCAGUGAGUAAUAAACAUAAAUAAAGGCUGAGAAUAAGAAAUCGUGGAAAAAUACAAAGUAAACUAUAACUGGCAGUUUAGAACAACAAAUAGUGAAGCAACAAGUUAAUUAAAUCAGAGUACCAAAUAUGAGACAGGUAUAACAGAUAAAAACAAAUGCAUGAGUGCAAUGCAAUGCAUAUGAUGGUACACUCUAUGCAUGAGUGCAAUGCAAUGCAUAUGAUGGUACUCUCUAGUACCCACUGCGGCGUGCAGCCCGAGCCAUCCAUUUUAUUUAUCGUUGACGGCGCUCACUGUGGGUGUAUACAGACUCCGGAGGGGCUCCUACAGCCCGAGCGCAAUAACAAGCCAUCUCGUGGCAUCAAUCAAGUCCUGGUCAGUCAUUGUUACCUGACCAAUUUAUAUCACACAGUGCCAUUGUUACCAUUGUUUCAAGUCACAUCAUACAGUGUCAUUGUUACCACUACUUCAAAUCACUGCUACGGCGCAUAACCCGAUCCAUGCUCAGUCCAGAAAUCAUAAUAAGCCCCUUGGGCAUUUGUAAAACAGUAGUUCUCAGCCCGAAAUAUCAUUUAGAAAUAUCAUUUAAGUUUUAAAAUCUUAGAAAGAUGGCUGAGUUUGCAAAAGAGUAUUUAAAACCUUGGACUGAGAUUAAAUGAUAUGCAUGUAUGCGAAAACAGUGAUGUCAAUCCCUAAAGGAUUCAAAUAAUUGGCAAGAAGCCCAAAUGUAAUAAUUAAAUCCAAGUAAGGAUGAUUUUCAAUUUAGUUCAAGUAGAAAACACGGUAAAAACAUCUCUCGGGAUGGACUAAGUCACAAUCCCUAAUGGUGCUCUACCCCACACCCGUUAUCCGGCGUGCAAGUCACCUCACUAUAGCGUUACGAUGUGAAAUUUCGGGGUUUCAAAACCUCAGGACUUCAUUUACUCACCUCAAAUUGGCCAAAGCUCUAGCUCGCUAUACCCUUGCCUCUCAAAUUAGCCUCCUCGUGCGACGAAUCUACUCAAAAUCACAACAAAUAUGUCGCAUUAUACUAAAGGGACAAUACCCCAUCGAAAACACUCAAAAAAUAUCAAAAUUAACGAAUUUGGCGAAACCCGAGCCAUGGGCCCACGUCUCAAAACUCAAAAAUUUUUAUACCAAAAUGUUCUUCGUCCUCUCACGAAUCCGUACAUAUAAAGAACACAAAAAUCGGAGCUCGUUUGACCCUUCAAAUCGACCCCAGAAAAUCUCAAAAGCACAAGCCCUAAAACCCCACUUUUCUACUGAUUUUCAUGUUCUAAUUCACAUAUAAUCUUGUAUUUAACUUGAAAAUAAGUAGAACAACUCACCUUUGAUGCUUGAUAAAAUCCCCCUUGAAAUUCUCUCCAAAAUCA
Molecule: long non-coding RNA, 1689 nt
Filed under: Nicotiana tabacum (common tobacco)
Lineage: Eukaryota; Viridiplantae; Streptophyta; Magnoliopsida; Solanales; Solanaceae
Description: long non-coding RNA (NTAB_LNC000987)
Source: RNAcentral